Molecule: ribosomal RNA, 424 nt
Filed under: Funneliformis mosseae
Lineage: Eukaryota; Fungi; Glomeromycota; Glomeromycetes; Glomerales; Glomeraceae
Description: eukaryotic LSU rRNA
Rfam family: Eukaryotic large subunit ribosomal RNA
Source: RNAcentral
GUACCGUGAGGGAAAGAUGAAAAGAACUUUGAAAAGAGAGUUAAACAGUACGUGAAAUUGUUGAAAGGGAAACGAUUGAAGUCAGUCAUACCAACGGGAAAUCAACCUUUUGAGCUUGGUCUCGUGGGUUUUGAAGAGUUUCAAAGCCUUCGGAUUCGCGGGAUUGGGAUCUCUUGGUGUACUUUUUCGUACGGUUAGUCAACAUCGGUUUUGAAUGUCAUAAAAUGACUGGAGAAAUGUAGCUUCGAUCUCGUAUUGAAGUGUUAUAGCCUUUGGUAGAUGUGAUGUUUGAGACCGAGGAUUGCAACGGAUACCCUUUAGGGCUAUUCGUCUGAUCUCUGAUACGUUGCCUUGAUAUUGAAAGCUUGCUUAUGAUGUUAGGGUAUUACGGUCAAAAGGUUAGAACGGAUUAGAUUCGUUAAGG